This is a long non-coding RNA of Octopus sinensis (East Asian common octopus), 186 nucleotides long. RefSeq lists it as uncharacterized. NCBI's taxonomy places the organism in Eukaryota, Metazoa, Mollusca, Cephalopoda, Octopoda, Octopodidae. The record is from RefSeq and is a predicted model, not a curated record. The transcript has 3 exons.
UAAAUUUUGAUUUUGUUUUUGAUCAAACCUUAACUGCUACAACAUUACCUUAAGUACACAUAUACAGCAUUGUUACUUAUGCAACUAAGAUGCACAACUCUAAUAUAAAUGCGUUUUAUAGUCUAAUGUUUAAAAUGUGACUAUUAAACUUAUUAUUUGUGUUACAAUUUUGUAAGCAGCUUGAAG